Molecule: ribosomal RNA, 1779 nt
Filed under: Triticum aestivum (bread wheat)
Lineage: Eukaryota; Viridiplantae; Streptophyta; Magnoliopsida; Poales; Poaceae
Description: partial small subunit ribosomal RNA
Source: RNAcentral
AUGGCUCCACGACUAAGUCCUAGCUCGAGGACAUCUGCCGUGACAAUUCCACGACAGUUGGCGCCCACCGUGGGGCCAGCGCACGGUGGAUUUGAGUUCUUGAAGGGCAGCUUUGAAGGGCUCAAGGGAUACGCUGUGGGCCGGAUGACCAAGAGUCGUCGCGGCAAGCUCUACAUCGACGAUGCAAACUGGGGCCCCGACGCCGGCUCAAUUGAGUACGGGUACCGGGUCCCCUUUGGCGGAAUUCAUGUCUUCAUUGGCAAGAUUGGUGAGCCGGGCCCUGAGCCAGAUCUCUGCGCCGAUCUCAUCGAGACGGCUCAGCGUACACGACCCACCCGGGCUCUACCAGCCUUGAAGCAUGCUUUUGUGGGAUGUGUUCAUGGAGGACUCUCUGAAGGGUCUGGAUCUGGCGAUGAGACGGCUGCCGGCUCUGACGGCGAGUCGUCUACGGAUGAGUCAAAUUCGUUGUAUCAACUUCAGGAUGGCAGGCUCAGGGGUUGUUCCGAUGGCGACAGCAUUCCGGACCCUUUUGAACCGCCGAGCCGGGUUGGAAUCUUCAUGGCCGGCGCGCAACCUGUUCAAAACCCCGCCUCCGGGUCAGGAAGCCCGGUGCCUUCACCGGCUCAGGUGCUGAUGGAUCUCACAGACAAGCUGACGGUCCUGUUGACCACUACGGUGGCUCCGGCGGAUCAAGUUCAGCAUGACGCGGAGGUGGCACAGUUAAAGUUGGAUCUAGCAAAGGCCAAGGAGGAUCUGGCGGCGGAGGGGGUCAGGAUGGCUGCAGAGAGGGCGGCUCUCGACGCCCAGACUCAGCUGAUUCAGGCACAGUCCUUCCGGCUCACGAUGGAUCAAAACGCAUCCAAUGAGGUCAUGAGAAGGAGGCAUCAAAAGGCCCAAUCUCGACUCCCUCCGGUUUACGAUCCUCGAAAUCUCUUCAACACGCCGGGUGCAGGGUCUAGUAACCCGCCAAAGAUCAUAGUGCCCGGGGCUGGGACACCUAUUCAGCCCCAAGUGAUGGGGCCUCCCCGGGUGAACCCUGCCCCGCCUCAGUACGUGCCAAUACCACCGGGUCAUUAUGCCAACCCGCUGGAAAACAUGGUCGCCGCGGCGGCACGGCUGGCGGCUCUCCCAAUUGAUGGCGACUCUCCAACGGCUGUUGAAACCCGCCGGGUCAGAGAACUCCUUCAGACAGCUCUGGCGCAGCAAGAGGCAUACUCUUAUAGCCGGGAUAGGGUCCAUUCAACCCCUCGUCCAGGCCGGAGCCCGAGUUAUAGCAGACACAUGGUCUCAGCGACCGGCUCAAGUAAUGUCCGACGCCGUGACUUGCCACCUGGCCACGGCCCGGCUCAUAACGGGGCCUUUCACGCAGCAGACCAAGACAGAGCACGGCAAGAGGCGGAGCAGGUGCCUCAGUUGACGGCUUACCAGACACCCCCGGCUUAUCCGACGGCUUCCGUCGACGUGGGUAUCCCUACAAGGACUGGCGGUGUCCCUUGUUUAGUGCCGGCUCUCCGCAAUGAACGUCUACCCAAGGACUUCAAAGGGCCUAGGAAGGUGCCUAAUUACACGGCUGAUUUACAACCCGGAGCCUGGAUCGAGAGUUACGAGAUGGCCAUGGAAUUGUUGGAGGUCAGCGAAGCGGCGAUGGCCAAGUACUUCACCAUGAUGUUAGAUGGGACUGCCCGCACUUGGUUGAAAGGGCUGCCACCAAAUUCUAUUGGGUCUUGGGCUGAGCUAAAAGCCCGGUUCAUCCAAAACUUCAAAGAUACCUAUAGGUAG